RNAcentral lists this small nuclear RNA (20 nucleotides) under Arabidopsis thaliana (thale cress). Its description in RNAcentral is "snRNA_00094". The record is from RNAcentral. Lineage: Eukaryota; Viridiplantae; Streptophyta; Magnoliopsida; Brassicales; Brassicaceae.
UGAAGAAAUUCAACCAAGCG